GCCACUUAAAAUCAGCAGAAAUGGAAUCAAAUAGUAGGAAAUAAGUAGCCAACAGCUGAAGUUAGUUUCUGGAAAUGCACCUUUCCAUCAAGUGCCCAGACAGAACGAAAAUAGUCCACUAGAGAUUCUUGAAUUCCCAAUUUCUGAACAAAUAGGAGCAUACUGUCAUUGACGCAAUGUGCUUUAAUCUGAUGGGGGAAUGCAUUUAAAAAAUUCAAGAAGUAAGAUAGAAAAAGGAAAGAAAACAAGAAAAAAAGUGUUUUGCUUGAUCAAGGACAGAUCAGUGAUAUAACAGAACUUUUAAGCAGCCUUACAAGUGCAAGAUAUAAAUACGAAGAUCAAGCAAACGAAGAGACAUGGGAAUGAAAAAUAUUCAACGAAUCUCUCGGUUUCCUGUA
Long non-coding RNA from Stegodyphus dumicola, 398 nucleotides. The record is from RefSeq and is a predicted model, not a curated record. Lineage: Eukaryota; Metazoa; Arthropoda; Arachnida; Araneae; Eresidae.